Molecule: non-coding RNA, 689 nt
Organism: Styela clava
Lineage: Eukaryota; Metazoa; Chordata; Ascidiacea; Stolidobranchia; Styelidae
Source: RefSeq, a predicted model, not a curated record
UCCACCAUUUGAAAAUACGCAAGGUACAUAUACAGAAUAAAAUAAAAGAAGAAUAGCAUUUCAUGGUGGAGGGAAACGCUGAAAAACCAGUACUGGUUAUCGAGCAGCGACACCCUAGGUGGGGUCUAACACAGCAUGACGAAAUAACAUGAAAUAGAAAGCUUAAAACGAAUAUGAAUGAAAAAGCAAAAUAAUCACACUAAAUAAAAUUGUAUAUUGGAAACGUUCAAGUAUCCAGCGGAUUUUCGGGAAAUCCAGAGUCUCUCGUUAAUAUGAAAAUAGACUCCAAGCACCAUCGAGGUAACCACGGCAACUGCUCAGCUGAAGCACUGGCUGCGGGCGAGUGUACAGUUAACGUCAAACCUGAUAGCCGGAAGGAUGUCGGUAUUGCAGUAGGAAAUUAAAGAUUCUAUUCAAUGGAUUGGACAAUAAAUAACAGGUAUUAAAGACCCAACAGCUUGAAAUGUGGUCAAAUGUUGAGCUGACAAUAGCAAGAAUACAAGACUCAGACAUGAUAUCAACUGGAAGAUGUGGCGGCACCGGAUUGUGGCUGUGUUGGUUUGUAGAGUUAUCAAAUUCUUCGCGCUAUUGAGAAGGCAAGCAUCGUCAGCGAACAAUUUGCUUAAAAGAUUUGAUGAGUUCGAUAAAUCAUUUAUGUAUAAUAAAAAUUCAAGAGCACCCAACACAGA